CCUACGGGUGGCAGCAGUGGGGAAUAGUGCGCAAUGGGCGAAAGCCUGACGCAGCGACGCCGCGUGAGGGAUGAAGGUCUUCGGAGCGUAAACCUCUGUCAGCAGGGAAGAACGGUCACUGUGCUAAUCAGCAGUGAAUUGACGGUACCAGCAAAGGAAGCACCGGCUAACUCCGUGCCAGCAGCCGCGGUAAGACGGAGGGUGAGAGCUUUCAUCGGAAUUACGGGGCGUAAAGCGCUCGGAGGCGGUAUGUCAAGUCAAGGGUGAAAUCCCCGCGCUCAACGUGGGAACUGCCUUUGAAACUUGCAAACUGGAGUGUGUGAGAGGAUAGUGGAAUUCCCGGUGUAGU
This 349-nucleotide ribosomal RNA is filed under the name uncultured bacterium. Its description in RNAcentral is "partial 16S ribosomal RNA". It matches the Rfam family "Bacterial small subunit ribosomal RNA", at positions 338 to 679 of the family's 1533-position model. The record is from RNAcentral.